UGGACGACGCUGGCGGCGUGCUUAACACAUGCAAGUCGAACGGUGACGAGGAGCUUGCUCCUCUGAUCAGUGGCGAACGGGUGAGUAACACGUGAGCAACCUGCCCCAGACUCUGGGAUAACAGUUGGAAACAGCUGCUAAUACCGGAUACGAGACGGAGAGGCAUCUCUACCGUCUGGAAAGUUUUUCGGUCUGGGAUGGACUCGCGGCCUAUCAGCUAGUUGGUGAGGUAAUGGCUCACCAAGGCGACGAUCUGUAGCGGGUCUGAGAGGAUGAUCCGCCACACUGGGACUGAGACACGGCCCAGACUCCUACGGGAGGCAGCAGUGGGGAAUAUUGCACAAUGGGCGAAAGCCUGAUGCAGCGACGCCGCGUGAGGGAUGACGGCCUUCGGGUUGUAAACCUCUUUCAGCAGGGAAGAAGCGAAAGUGACGGUACCUGCAGAAGAAGCACCGGCUAACUACGUG
RNAcentral lists this ribosomal RNA (467 nucleotides) under uncultured bacterium. RNAcentral describes it as "bacterial SSU rRNA". It matches the Rfam family "Bacterial small subunit ribosomal RNA", at positions 33 to 507 of the family's 1533-position model. The record is from RNAcentral.